Molecule: long non-coding RNA, 634 nt
Organism: Homo sapiens (human)
Lineage: Eukaryota; Metazoa; Chordata; Mammalia; Primates; Hominidae
Gene: SEC61G-DT
Product: SEC61G divergent transcript
Source: Ensembl
GACGUGCGCCCGGCCACGCUUCCUGGAAGAGAUGCAUUGCGGAGCUCGCUAGUUGGGGCGUUGGCCUUCCUUAGGAGUGUGAGUCUAGCGUUAUCCCUUUUUUCCGGCUGGAUCCCGGGUUACCCCACCAGCCCGACCUCAACCCACUCACGUCCACAGCACGAGCCCCAGCGGCCUUGCGCGGUGCUUGCUCUCUAGUAGCGGCUGACUAGGUCAGUCAGGAUCUUUGAUUUUGGAGCACAAGCCUUCUGCGUGCUACUGACUGGGUCCUGGCCUCCCUCCUUCCAUGGCAUCGUCGUGAAUGGGAAUUUCCACCACUGCCUCCAUUAGUCAGAAGAUUGAACAUGUUGUAACUGUAGAAAGCCCGUCAUCCUUGUGUAUGCACUUGCUGAAAGAUCCACUGAAGAGCAACCUUCAUGAACAUUACCAGGGGACUUGUGCUCCUAUAAAACGCACUGUUUUCCUCACUGCGAGGUGGGUCUCUCACCGCGAUGGACUAUCUGUGAUCACAGAGCACUUCUUCCCUGGGCCUUCCCUGUCACACUGAUGGUGUGAGUAUGUAGGGCAGGGGUGGGAGUGAACAUGUUAAUCUCUUUUGAAUAAACUGAUUUUGAAGUAGAUGUCUCAAAAAAAA